AAGGGCCCUAAAUUGAAGCGGUGUUUUUAAAAACCCACCGCUUCAAUUUAAGGCCUCCAUUUCGUCUACACACGCCUGAAGUAACCUUAUUCUCUGGGCACAUUACUAGAUCAUAGCAACCACUAGCAGUAAUUGAUAGCAAAGAGCCAAGAACAGGUGUAUGCUGACCUUCCUUUUUGGAUAGUUUAAGGAGCCAUUAGGUGUGACCAUAGCAUGAAAGCUUGCACUUCACUCUGGCUAGAGGACUCAAGGUUUGCAGGCUGUCAAUUUGCAUUGUUCAUAAGCACUAAAUACACUUAACUGUAUUGUGGAAGUAGUUGUACAUGAAGGGAUGAUAUUGGGUUAUGGUAUCUCUAGGACCAAACAGUAACUUUUCCGUAUGACUUACUAGUCUUGCAAAAUGCCCAGUUAGUCAAAAUAACCAUGAAGCAGCCUGUAUGAUGAUGUUGGUAUGGGCCUCUCCUCUUUUAAUAAUGAUGAAUUCUUGAGAGUUUUUUUUUGCUGGAAGCUAUGGAAUUUUUUCAGUGUUACCAUAAAAAAUUGUUUACUUGUCAAGCACAUAUUCUUAUACUCUUAAGACGGGGGAAGAAGAGCUUUUAUAAUGUAUCAAGAUUUUUCCUUCUCUCCUGAAGUAUCUUGAAAAAUAAAAGCUAAUAUUUUAGUUCCCCAAACUGUUGCUAGUAGCAGUCCUUAAUAAAUAAAACAUUAAGAACAUUUUGGCUUGCAGGAAGGGUCAAACUAACUUGUCUUAUAUCUUGAAGUCUCUCUUUUCAGGAAGGAAACCUAUUCUGAAGUCAAAUCGAUAAACCAAGCCAUCAGAUGACAUAAUUGUACUUUAUUGUGCUGCUCCAUAGACCUGCUUCUCUGUGUAUUGCAAGCCUAACCUUGUUGCUUCUGUUUACAUUGUAGAAAACGGUUCUAGCAAUGAGUUGGUUUUUUUUUUCAUUUAACUCUAAGCAUCUUUUUAUUUUGUUUAACUCUAAAAUGAUAAGGUUUUGCUAUGUUAUGUUUUUUAAGGGUAUUUUGCAUACUGCUGCUCAUAUUUCAAUAAACAUGAAAAAUCUCCUUUCGGUAUGAUUUUUUUCCCCCUAGUUUGCUGUAUCUGUAAUUCAGUAUGUGCCUCAAUUAAAUGUAUUUAAAUGUCUGUACGGGCCUUUUCCAAAGUGUAGUUUUGUGUUCUACAAAAGUACAAUGACUUGAACUCUAUGCUUGUAACUGUCGCUACUGAUGCUUUAUGCUAUCAUUCUUUACGGAUGUGUGAAAGGGAAAUUCUAUUUCUUGC
Long non-coding RNA from Gavialis gangeticus (Gharial), 1282 nucleotides. RefSeq lists it as uncharacterized. The record is from RefSeq and is a predicted model, not a curated record. The transcript is spliced from 3 exons. Lineage: Eukaryota; Metazoa; Chordata; Crocodylia; Gavialidae.